GUAUUUGAGCUACACCUUGGGUGCCCACUUCAUCAGGUAGGCCUCGUCAGAAUUCUUUACUAGUGACUUUGUUUAGGAUGACACAGGCUGGAGUCUCUGAACCUUAAGCUGAAAGACAGUGGUUUUCUGAUACAUGCUUAUAAAAAGCAAAAGCUUGUACAGUAUGUAGUAGUGCUUCAGCUUGGUUGCCUUGUGUUCUUUUUUAUGCCUUUCUGAGCUGGAGACAUCUCGUAAGGUGUGUUGUAUGAUGAUUUUCAUGGCUAGAGUGCUGACAUUGAUGACAGCAAUUCACAUAAAUCUGAUGGCAUCAGCAGUCUGAAUUAUGUAAAUUAUUUGUGUCCGCACAUUAAUUGCCAGUUCUGGUGGUUUCCUUUCAGAUGGUCUAGUACAGAGCCCAGCAGUGCAGGUAGUUCAUGAUCUUACUUUUGAUACAAUUGCUUUCACUGUGCUUGAAAUUUGUGUAAGGCCACUGCAAUUUGUUUCUUCAGUGAGUUUUGUGAAGCCAGUUGCAACUGCACACAGCAAUCCCAGUCUGGUUUGACCUUCAUAUAUAAGGUGCUCUUGUGAGACUGGUAUAAAUUGCACAUUAUGGGACUUCAUCCACUUUGCAUAGUUUCACGAAUGCGGAUAAUGCAUGUUCGUGCUUGUUUUCAUGUGAUGAGAAAUUCUGACACCUCUUCUGAAUUCUUCUUGACAGAAUUCAUUAUUCUGAAUUUUUUUUUUUGCAACCUGCUGCAACUAUUGUGCAGAGCAGUUUGUAAAUGUUAGCGAUGUCUUUUUUUUUUUUUUCCAGGUAUCGGUGGCAGCAAAAGCAGGUGAGUCCAGGGAGGUGCAUCGAUUUUGCGGUCAAUAAAAGAAAAAGUUUC
Molecule: long non-coding RNA, 866 nt
Filed under: Dermacentor andersoni
Lineage: Eukaryota; Metazoa; Arthropoda; Arachnida; Ixodida; Ixodidae
Description: uncharacterized LOC126535987
Source: RNAcentral